RNAcentral lists this unclassified non-coding RNA (326 nucleotides) under soil metagenome. RNAcentral's name for it is "partial contains 5.8S ribosomal RNA, internal transcribed spacer 2, and large subunit ribosomal RNA". The stretch from base 1 to 120 matches the Rfam family "5.8S ribosomal RNA", at positions 35 to 154 of the family's 154-position model. The record is from RNAcentral.
GAUGAAGAACGCAGCGAAAUGCGAUAAGUAGUGUGAAUUGCAGAAUUUAGUGAAUCAUCGAAUCUUUGAACGCACAUUGCGCCCUAUGGUAUUCUGUAGGGCAUGCCUGUUCGAGCGUUAUUGAGACCUCAAGCUCUGCUUGGAAAUGGGCGCUUGUCUUGCCUUGCAGACUCGCCUUAAAACCAUUGGCAGCUGAUUUACAAUGUUUGGUGCACAGUACAUGAGCCCAAGUGUUGCAAUGAGUGGCCCAAAAGUAUACAAUAGAAGCUUAACCUCGGAUCAGGUAGGGAUACCCGCUGAACUUAAGCAUAUCAAUAAGCGGAGGA